This 496-nucleotide ribosomal RNA is filed under the name uncultured bacterium. Its description in RNAcentral is "partial 16S ribosomal RNA". It matches the Rfam family "Bacterial small subunit ribosomal RNA", at positions 29 to 507 of the family's 1533-position model. The record is from RNAcentral.
AUGAACGCUGGCGGCGUGCCUAAUACAUGCAAGUCGAGCGAACAGACGAGGAGCUUGCUCCUCUGACGUUAGCGGCGGACGGGUGAGUAACACGUGGAUAACCUACCUAUAAGACUGGGAUAACUUCGGGAAACCGGAGCUAAUACCGGAUAAUAUAUUGAACCGCAUGGUUCAAUAGUGAAAGACGGUUUUGCUGUCACUUAUAGAUGGAUCCGCGCCGCAUUAGCUAGUUGGUAAGGUAACGGCUUACCAAGGCAACGAUGCGUAGCCGACCUGAGAGGGUGGUCGGCGACACUGGAAGUGAGACUACGCCCAGACUCCUACGAGAGGCAGCAGUAGAGAAUCAGACGCAUUAGGGGAAAACGUGACGGAACGACGCCGCGUCAGUGCUGAAGGUGUUCGGAUAGUAAGACUCUGUUAUUAGGGAAGAACAAAUGUAUAAGGAACUAUGCACGGCUUGACGGUACCUAGUAAGAAAGCCACGGCUAACUACGUG